ACGAGGCGAACCGGGGGAACUGAAACAUCUAAGUACCCCGAGGAAAAGAAAUCAACCGAGAUUCCCCCAGUAGCGGCGAGCGAACGGGGAGCAGCCCGGAGUCUGAAUCAGCUUGUGUGUUAGUGGAAGCGUCUGGAAAGUCGCAGGGUACAGGGUGAUACUCCCGUACACUAAAACACACAGGCUGUGAACUCGAAGAGUAGGGCGGGACACGUGGUAUCCUGUCUGAAUAUGGGGGGACCAUCCUCCAAGGCUAAAUACUCCUGACUGACCGAUAGUGAACCAGUACCGUGAGGGAAAGGCGAAAAGAACCCCGGCGAGGGGAGUGAAAAAGAACCUGAAACCGUGUACGUACAAGCAGUAGGAGCCCACUAGUUGGGUGACUGCGUACCUUUUGUAUAAUGGGUCAGCGACUUAUAUUCUGUAGCAAGGUUAACCGAAUAGGGGAGCCGCAGGGAAACCGAGUCUUAACUGGGCGUUAAGUUGCAGGGUAUAGACCCGAAACCCGGUGAUCUAGCCAUGGGCAGGUUGAAGGUUGGGUAACACUAACUGGAGGACCGAACCGACUAAUGUUGAAAAAUUAGCGGAUGACUUGUGGCUGGGGGUGAAAGGCCAAUCAAACCGGGAGAUAGCUGGUUCUCCCCGAAAGCUAUUUAGGUAGCGCCUCGUGAACUCAUCUUCGGGGGUAGAGCACUGUUUCGGCUAGGGGGUCAUCCCGACUUACCAACCCGAUGCAAACUACGAAUACCGAAGAAUGUUAUCACGGGAGACACACGGCGGGUGCUAACGUCCGUCGUGAAGAGGGAAACAACCCAGACCGCCAGCUAAGGUCCCAAAGUCAUGGUUAAGUGGGAAACGAUGUGGGAAGGCCCAGACAGCCAGGAUGUUGGCUUAGAAGCAGCCAUCAUUUAAAGAAAGCGUAAUAGCUCACUGGUCGAGUCGGCCUGCGCGGAAGAUGUAACGGGGCUAAACCAUGCACCGAAGCUGCGGCAGCGACACUAUGUGUUGUUGGGUAGGGGAGCGUUCUGUAAGCCGUUGAAGGUGGCCUGUGAGGGUUGCUGGAGGUAUCAGAAGUGCGAAUGCUGACAUAAGUAACGAUAAUGCGGGUGAAAAACCCGCACGCCGGAAGACCAAGGGUUCCUGUCCAACGUUAAUCGGGGCAGGGUGAGUCGACCCCUAAGGCGAGGCCGAAAGGCGUAGUCGAUGGGAAACAGGUUAAUAUUCCUGUACUUGGUGUUACUGCGAAGGGGGGACGGAGAAGGCUAUGUUGGCCGGGCGACGGUUGUCCCGGUUUAAGCAUGUAGGCGGAUGUUCCAGGUAAAUCCGGAGCGUCACUAACGCUGAGGUGUGAUGACGAGGCACUACGGUGCUGAAGUGACAAAUGCCCUGCUUCCAGGAAAAGCCUCUAAGCAUCAGGUAACAUCAAAUCGUACCCCAAACCGACACAGGUGGUCAGGUAGAGAAUACCAAGGCGCUUGAGAGAACUCGGGUGAAGGAACUAGGCAAAAUGGUGCCGUAACUUCGGGAGAAGGCACGCUGAUGGUAGGUGAAGUGACUUGCUCAUGGAGCUGAAAUCAGUCGAAGAUACCAGCUGGCUGCAACUGUUUAUUAAAAACACAGCACUGUGCAAACACGAAAGUGGACGUAUACGGUGUGACGCCUGCCCGGUGCCGGAAGGUUAAUUGAUGGGGUUAUCCUCGCGGAGAAGCUCUUGAUCGAAGCCCCGGUAAACGGCGGCCGUAACUAUAACGGUCCUAAGGUAGCGAAAUUCCUUGUCGGGUAAGUUCCGACCUGCACGAAUGGCGUAAUGAUGGCCAGGCUGUCUCCACCCGAGACUCAGUGAAAUUGAACUCGCUGUGAAGAUGCAGUGUACCCGCGGCAAGACGGAAAGACCCCGUGAACCUUUACUAUAGCUUGACACUGAACACUGGUCCUUGAUGUGUAGGAUAGGUGGGAGGCUUUGAAGUGUGGACGCCAGUCUGCAUGGAGCCGUCCUUGAAAUACCACCCUUUAAUGGCUGGUGUUCUAACGUGGGCCCGUGAUCCGGGUUGCGGACAGUGUCUGGUGGGUAGUUUGACUGGGGCGGUCUCCUCCUAAAGAGUAACGGAGGAGCACGAAGGUCAGCUAAUCCUGGUCGGACAUCAGGAGGUUAGUGCAAUGGCAUAAGCUGGCUUGACUGCGAGCGUGACGGCGCGAGCAGGUGCGAAAGCAGGUCAUAGUGAUCCGGUGGUUCUGAAUGGAAGGGCCAUCGCUCAACGGAUAAAAGGUACUCCGGGGAUAACAGGCUGAUACCGCCCAAGAGUUCAUAUCGACGGCGGUGUUUGGCACCUCGAUGUCGGCUCAUCACAUCCUGGGGCUGAAGUAGGUCCCAAGGGUAUGGCUGUUCGCCAUUUAAAGUGGUACGCGAGCUGGGUUUAGAACGUCGUGAGACAGUUCGGUCCCUAUCUGCCGUGGGCGCUGGAGAAUUGAGGGGGGCUGCUCCUAGUACGAGAGGACCGGAGUGGACGCAUCACUGGUGUUCGGGUUGUCAUGCCAAUGGCAUUGCCCGGUAGCUAAAUGCGGAAGAGAUAAGUGCUGAAAGCAUCUAAGCACGAAACUUGCCCCGAGAUGAGUUCUCCCUGACCCUUUAAGGGUCCUGAAGGAACGUUGAAGACGACGACGUUGAUAGGCCGGGUGUGUAAGCGCAGCGAUGCGUUGAGCUAACCGGUACUAAUGAACCGUGAGGCUUAACC
Molecule: ribosomal RNA, 2732 nt
Filed under: Klebsiella oxytoca
Lineage: Bacteria; Pseudomonadati; Pseudomonadota; Gammaproteobacteria; Enterobacterales; Enterobacteriaceae
Description: bacterial LSU rRNA
Rfam family: Bacterial large subunit ribosomal RNA
Source: RNAcentral